This 506-nucleotide ribosomal RNA is filed under the name uncultured bacterium. RNAcentral describes it as "partial 16S ribosomal RNA". It matches the Rfam family "Bacterial small subunit ribosomal RNA", at positions 30 to 523 of the family's 1533-position model. The record is from RNAcentral.
AUUGAACGCUGGCGGCAGGCCUAACACAUGCAAGUCGAACGGUAACAGGAAACAGCUUGCUGUUUCGCUGACGAGUGGCGGACGGGUGAGUAAUGUCUGGGAAACUACCUGAUGGAGGGGGAUAACUACUGGAAACGGUAGCUAAUACCGCAUAACGUCGCAAGACCAAAGAGGGGGACCUUCGGGCCUCUUGCCAUCGGAUGUGCCCAGAUGGGAUUAGCUAGUAGGUGGGGUAACGGCUCACCUAGGCGACGAUCCCUAGCUGGUCUGAGAGGAUGACCAGCCACACUGGAACGGAGACACGGUCCAGACUCCUACGGGAGGCAGCAGUGGGGAAUAUUGCACAAUGGGCGCAAGCCUGAUGCAGCCAUGCCGCGUGUAUGAAGAAGGCCUUCGGGUUGUAAAGUACUUUCAGCGGGGAGGAAGGGAGUAAAGUCAAUACCUUUGCUCAUUGACGUUACCCGCAGAAGAAGCACCGGCUAACUCCGUGCCAGCCGCCGCAGUAA